CGACGAGUUUGAUCCUGGCUCAGGACGAACGCUUGCGGCGUGCCUAAGAAAUGCAAGUCGAAACGGGGACUUCGGUCCUAGUGGCGAACGGUCGCGUAACACGUAAGCAACCUGCCCUGAAGAGGGGGACAACAUCCCGAAAGGGUGCUAAUACCGCAUGUGGUCACGGAGUCGGCAUCGACUUGUGUCUAAAGAUUUAUCGCUUCAGGAUGGGCUUGCGG
Molecule: ribosomal RNA, 221 nt
Filed under: uncultured Armatimonadota bacterium
Lineage: Bacteria; Bacillati; Armatimonadota
Description: uncultured Armatimonadetes bacterium partial 16S ribosomal RNA
Rfam family: Bacterial small subunit ribosomal RNA
Source: RNAcentral